This 468-nucleotide ribosomal RNA is filed under the name uncultured bacterium. RNAcentral describes it as "partial 16S ribosomal RNA". It matches the Rfam family "Bacterial small subunit ribosomal RNA", at positions 28 to 507 of the family's 1533-position model. The record is from RNAcentral.
GACGAACGCUGGCGGCGUGCUUAACACAUGCAAGUCGAACGGAAAGGCCCUGCUUUUGUGGGGUGCUCGAGUGGCGAACGGGUGAGUAACACGUGAGUAACCUGCCCUUGACUUUGGGAUAACUUCAGGAAACUGGGGCUAAUACCGCAUAGGAGCUCCUGCUGCAUGGUGGGGGUUGGAAAGUUUCGGCCGUUGGGGAUGGACUCGCGGCUUAUCGGCUUGUUGGUGGGGUAGUGGCUUACCAAGGCUGUGACGGGUAGCCGGCCUGGGAGGGUGGCCGGCCACAUUGGGACUGAGAUACGGCCCAGAAUCCUACGGGAGGCAGCGGUGGGGAGUAUGACAGAAUAGGCGGAAGCCUGAUGCAGCAACGCCGCGUGCGGGAUAACGGCCUUCGGGUUGUAAACCGCUUUCGCCUGUGACGAGGCGGGAGUGACGGUAAUGGGUAAAGAGGCACCGGCUAACUACGUG